UACGAAGGGGGCUAGCGUUGUUCGGAAUCACUGGGCGUAAAGCGCACGUAGGCGGAUCUUUAAGUCAGGGGUGAAAUCCCGGAGCUCAACUCCGGAACUGCCUUUGAUACUGGGGAUCUCGAGUCCGGGAGAGGUGAGUGGAACUGCGAGUGUAGAGGUGAAAUUCGUAGAUAUUCGCAAGAACACCAGUGGCGAAGGCGGCUCACUGGCCCGGAACUGACGCUGAGGUGCGAAAGCGUGGGGAGCAAACAGG
This 253-nucleotide ribosomal RNA is filed under the name uncultured bacterium. RNAcentral's name for it is "partial 16S ribosomal RNA". It matches the Rfam family "Bacterial small subunit ribosomal RNA", at positions 524 to 776 of the family's 1533-position model. The record is from RNAcentral.